UACAGAGGGUGCGAGCGUUAAUCGGAAUUACUGGGCGUAAAGCGCACGUAGGUGGCGACGUAAGUCGGGUGUGAAAGUCCCGGGCUCAACCUGGGAAUUGCAUUCGAGACUGCAUUGCUGGAGUACGGAAGAGGAGGGCGGAAUUCCCGGUGUAGCGGUGAAAUGCGUAGAUAUCGGGAGGAACAUCAGUGGCGAAGGCGGCCCUCAGGUCCAGUACUGACACUCAAGUGCGAAAGCGUGGGAAGCAAACAGG
Molecule: ribosomal RNA, 253 nt
Filed under: uncultured bacterium
Lineage: Bacteria
Description: partial 16S ribosomal RNA
Rfam family: Bacterial small subunit ribosomal RNA
Source: RNAcentral